This 306-nucleotide ribosomal RNA is filed under the name uncultured Pseudomonas sp. Its description in RNAcentral is "bacterial SSU rRNA". It matches the Rfam family "Bacterial small subunit ribosomal RNA", at positions 1077 to 1382 of the family's 1533-position model. The record is from RNAcentral. Lineage: Bacteria; Pseudomonadati; Pseudomonadota; Gammaproteobacteria; Pseudomonadales; Pseudomonadaceae.
GGGUUAAGUCCCGUAACGAGCGCAACCCUUGUCCUUAGUUACCAGCACGUUAUGGUGGGCACUCUAAGGAGACUGCCGGUGCAAACCGGAGGAAGGUGGGGAUGACGUCAAGUCAUCAUGGCCCUUACGGCCUGGGCUACACACGUGCUACAAUGGUCGGGUACAAAGGGUUGCCAAGCCGCGAGGUGGAGCUAAUCCCAUAAAACCGAUCGUAGUCCGGAUCGCAGUCUGCAACUCGACUGCGUGAAGUCGGAAUCGCUAGUAAUCGUGAAUCAGAAUGUCACGGUGAAUACGUUCCCGGGCCUU